This 523-nucleotide ribosomal RNA is filed under the name uncultured bacterium. Its description in RNAcentral is "bacterial SSU rRNA". It matches the Rfam family "Bacterial small subunit ribosomal RNA", at positions 8 to 518 of the family's 1533-position model. The record is from RNAcentral.
AGAGUUUGAUCAUGGCUCAGGAUGAACGCUAGCUACAGGCUUAACACAUGCAAGUCGAGGGGCAUCAUGGAGUUUGCUUGCAAACUCUGAUGGCGACCGGCGCACGGGUGAGUAACGCGUAUCCAACUUCCCUAUAGUAGAGGAUAGCCCGGCGAAAGUCGGAUUAAUACUCUAUGUUUUCCGUUGCAGACAUCUAAGAUGGAACAAAGGCUUGCCGCUAUAGGGAUGGGGAUGCGUCUGAUUAGGUAGUCGGCGGGGUAACGGCCCACCGAGCCAUCGAUCAGUAGGGGUUCUGAGAGGAAGGUCCCCCACAUUGGAACUGAGACACGGUCCAAACUCCUACGGGAGGCAGCAGUGAGGAAUAUUGGUCAAUGGGCGAGAGCCUGAACCAGCCAAGUUAAGCGUGCAGGACGACGGCCCUAUGGGUUGUAAACUGCUUUUAUGCGGGGAUAAAGUUCACUACGUGUAGUGUUUUGUAGGUACCGCAUGAAUAAGGACCGGCUAAUUCCGUGCCAGCCGCCGC